This 422-nucleotide ribosomal RNA is filed under the name uncultured bacterium. RNAcentral's name for it is "bacterial SSU rRNA". It matches the Rfam family "Bacterial small subunit ribosomal RNA", at positions 355 to 774 of the family's 1533-position model. The record is from RNAcentral.
UGAGGAAUAUUGGGCAAUGCCCGCAAGGGUGACCCAGCAACGCCGCGUGGAGGAUGAAUGUCGUAAGAUUGUAAACUCCUGUUAGAGGGGAAGAAUAGUACCGGUUGGACCGGUAUAUGACUGUACCCUCAGAGAAAGCCCCGGCUAACUACGUGCCAGCAGCCGCGGUAAUACGUAGGGGGCAAGCGUUGUCCGGAUUUACUGGGUGUAAAGGGCGCGCAGGCGGGAUAAAAAGUCAGAGGUGAAAUCCUACAGCUUAACUGUAGAACUGCCUUUGAUACUUUUAUUCUUGAGUUCGGGAGAGAGAGACGGAAUUCCAGGUGUAGUGGUGAAAUACGUAGAUAUCUGGAAGAACACCAGUUGCGAAGGCGGUCUCUUGGUCCGACACUGACGCUGAGGCGCGAAAGCGUGGGGAGCAAACA